This 72-nucleotide transfer RNA is filed under the name Galeus melastomus (blackmouth catshark). Its description in RNAcentral is "tRNA-Thr". It matches the Rfam family "tRNA". From Rfam's summary of the family: Transfer RNA (tRNA) molecules are approximately 80 nucleotides in length. Their secondary structure includes four short double-helical elements and three loops (D, anti-codon, and T loops). The record is from RNAcentral. Lineage: Eukaryota; Metazoa; Chordata; Chondrichthyes; Carcharhiniformes; Scyliorhinidae.
GUUUUGGUAGCUUAACUUAAAAGCGUCGGCCUUGUAAGUCGAAGAUUAGGGGUUUAAAUCCCCUCCAAAACA